UUUAAACGCAGUCAUGAGUUUUUUUUGUCUAACUUUAAUCAUCGUCUUAUUUAAAUUUUUUUAUGAUUAGUUUGUUUAUUGUUAUUAAAUGAUAAAAAUAAAUAUUACUUUAUGCGUAACUUAUGUUUUUUUAUUUUUUUCAAAAAAAAUUUAAAUAAAACAAAUGAUUAAAGUUGGACACAGAAACUGGUUGUGUUUUAA
Non-coding RNA from Oryza meridionalis, 201 nucleotides. NCBI's taxonomy places the organism in Eukaryota, Viridiplantae, Streptophyta, Magnoliopsida, Poales, Poaceae. The record is from Rfam.